Molecule: ribosomal RNA, 412 nt
Filed under: uncultured Curvibacter sp.
Lineage: Bacteria; Pseudomonadati; Pseudomonadota; Betaproteobacteria; Burkholderiales; Comamonadaceae
Description: bacterial SSU rRNA
Rfam family: Bacterial small subunit ribosomal RNA
Source: RNAcentral
ACUGGUAGUUUGAUCCUGGCUCAGAUUGAACGCUGGCGGCAUGCCUUACACAUGCAAGUCGAACGGCAGCACGGGAGCAAUCCUGGUGGCGAGUGGCGAACGGGUGAGUAAUAUAUCGGAACGUGCCCAGUCGUGGGGGAUAACGUAGCGAAAGCUACGCUAAUACCGCAUACGAUCUAUGGAUGAAAGCGGGGGAUCGCAAGACCUCGCACGAUUGGAGCGGCCGAUAUCAGAUUAGGUAGUUGGUGGGGUAAAGGCCCACCAAGGCGACGAUCUGUAGCUGGUCUGAGAGGACGACCAGCCACACUGGAACUGAGACACGGUCCAGACUCCUACGGGAGGCAGCAGUGGGGGAAUUUUGGACAAUGGGCGCAAGCCCUGAUCCAGCAAUGCCGCGUGCAGGAUGAAGGCC